AAGCGGUGGAGCAUGUGGUUCAAUUCGAAGCAACGCGCAGAACCUUACCUGGGCUUGACAUGCUAGGAUUAUCCUUGUGAAAGCAGAGUAGGCCCCGCAAGGGGUACAACUAGUACAGGUGCUGCAUGGCUGUCGUCAGCUCGUGUCGUGAGAUGUCGGGUUAAGUCCCUUAACGAGCGAAACCUUUGCCCUUAGUUACCAUCGGGUCAUGCCGGGGACUCUAAGGGGACUGCCGGUGUCAAACCGGAGGAAGGUGGAGAUG
RNAcentral lists this ribosomal RNA (262 nucleotides) under uncultured Planctomycetota bacterium. RNAcentral's name for it is "uncultured planctomycete partial 16S ribosomal RNA". It matches the Rfam family "Bacterial small subunit ribosomal RNA", at positions 927 to 1181 of the family's 1533-position model. Lineage: Bacteria; Pseudomonadati; Planctomycetota. The record is from RNAcentral.